UAUAAUUCGGCCUAACAGGGUUCGUUUCAAAACCGAAAAUGCUACAUCUGCAGUACAGAAAUCUAAGCAAAAGACAUAAUUUUAUCUAUUUCUGUAAUCUUUUUUUGGUACCUGAAUUUUAGGCUGAGAAGGUAGAGAUGGGAAAAUUUUCCAGAUUCAAGGUUCAUAGAAAAGACUGGCAUCAUUUUGAGAACGAGGAAUUAAAUCUGCAUCUUUAGACUUUGUGCUCUGCUGAGACAUUUGUCAUGGUCUGACUCAAAAUCUAUACUUAUUAUCAUCUUCUCGCAGUGAAUUUCUUCACGCAUUAUUUUUGUUUCUGAAUUUGUAUUUUGGCUUCAACAAUUAUGGUAUAUUUUAACAGACACCUGUUGAAGCAGUGAACAUCAUAAACCAACUCAGG
This 400-nucleotide small RNA is filed under the name Vigna angularis var. angularis. Its description in RNAcentral is "Non-protein coding transcript". Lineage: Eukaryota; Viridiplantae; Streptophyta; Magnoliopsida; Fabales; Fabaceae. The record is from RNAcentral.